RNAcentral lists this ribosomal RNA (879 nucleotides) under uncultured bacterium. RNAcentral's name for it is "bacterial SSU rRNA". It matches the Rfam family "Bacterial small subunit ribosomal RNA", at positions 37 to 908 of the family's 1533-position model. The record is from RNAcentral.
UAGCUACAGGCUUAACACAUGCAAGUCGAGGGGCAGCAUGAACUUAGCUUGCUAAGUUUGAUGGCGACCGGCGCACGGGUGAGUAACACGUAUCCAACCUUCCGUUUACUCAGGGAUAGCCUUUCGAAAGAAAGAUUAAUACCUGAUAGUAUGGUGAGAUUGCAUGAUAACACCAUUAAAGAUUCAUUGGUAAACGAUGGGGAUGCGUUCCAUUAGGUAGUAGGCGGGGUAACGGCCCACCUAGCCAACGAUGGAUAGGGGUUCUGAGAGGAAGGUCCCCCACAUUGGAACUGAGACACGGUCCAAACUCCUACGGGAGGCAGCAGUGAGGAAUAUUGGUCAAUGGGCGCGAGCCUGAACCAGCCAAGUAGCGUGAAGGAUGAAGGUCCUACGGAUUGUAAACUUCUUUUAUAAGGGAAUAAAGUCGCCUACGUGUAGGCGUUUGUAUGUACCUUAUGAAUAAGCAUCGGCUAACUCCGUGCCAGCAGCCGCGGUAAUACGGAGGAUGCGAGCGUUAUCCGGAUUUAUUGGGUUUAAAGGGAGCGUAGACGGAGGAUUAAGUCAGUUGUGAAAGUUUGCGGCUCAACCGUAAAAUUGCAGUUGAUACUGGUCCCCUUGAGUGCAGUUGAGGCAGGCGGAAUUCGUGGUGUAGCGGUGAAAUGCUUAGAUAUCACGAAGAACCCCGAUUGCGAAGGCAGCCUGCUAAGCUGUAACUGACGUUGAUGCUCGAAAGUGUGGGUAUCAAACAGGAUUAGAUACCCUGGUAGUCCACACGGUAAACGAUGGAUACUCGCUGUUGGCGAUAUACUGUCAGCGGCCAAGCGAAAGCAUUAAGUAUCCCACCUGGGGAGUACGUCGGCAACGGUGAAACUCAAAUGA